UCCUUCGUGGUGUAGUGGUCAGCACGCUGGGCGCGUAUUCCAGAGGUCCGUGGUUCGAAUCUCUGCGAAGGCG
RNAcentral lists this transfer RNA (73 nucleotides) under Stegodyphus mimosarum. It matches the Rfam family "tRNA". From Rfam's summary of the family: Transfer RNA (tRNA) molecules are approximately 80 nucleotides in length. Their secondary structure includes four short double-helical elements and three loops (D, anti-codon, and T loops). The record is from Rfam by way of RNAcentral. Lineage: Eukaryota; Metazoa; Arthropoda; Arachnida; Araneae; Eresidae.